Bos taurus (domestic cattle) is the source of this 1778-nucleotide long non-coding RNA. The record is from Ensembl. NCBI's taxonomy places the organism in Eukaryota, Metazoa, Chordata, Mammalia, Artiodactyla, Bovidae.
ACUGUAAACCUCUCGGCCUGGCUUGACCAAAUAAUGCACAUACACUAAGGCCCCUGCCCUUAUUAAGUCCACUCCUUUCCAAGCUAGCUUUAUCUUAGGAACCCCCCAAACUAGUGAGUAUGUUAGUCAUGGUGGGUGUGGGCAAUGAUGCCACCCUCUAUAUGCUGCAGGUGUGGGAGCACCACUAGAAUUUGGUUUGCUUUUCACAGACCACUCAGCUGUUUAUCAUCCAUUUUUGUGUCUGAUCCUUAUAAUAGCCACCAUUAACUGGGAGGAGAGUGAGGCUCCAUGAGAUAAGUCUUAUCCAGGAUCUCAGAACUAAUUCCAAGCAAAGCCCGGAAGAAACCCUGCCUACUAGCUUCAGCCAUCCCACCAAUGUCAGCACAAGACUCCUUCCACAGAAGCAACCAAGACAGCAGAGGUGUCAAGAAGAAACUGACAUCUGCAAGAGCCCAGAGCUUUCCCGACUCCAUCCCAGCACCAGCUGCAGUAACCACCAAGUGAAAGCAGGGGGCAGUGAGGGGAAUGGCACAGCCCUCUCAUUCCCGGAACACAGUCGAUCUCAACUCAGCGGAUUUCACAGAACACUCUCUGCCUAUCGCCGGCUCCAACGAGAAGUAACUUUCCAGGAAGCUGCCGGCCCCGACGGCAGCCAGGAUCGCUGCCUGCGCCGCUCGGGCCGCCGGGGAUUCACCCGGCGAGGGGGGGCAGCCCGGGGAGGCUCGCGGGGAAUACGGCGCACUUUCCCCUAAAUCCCUCGUCCGCGCCAGGUCUAGGAGUCUAUUAGAGUUCACCUAGUCCAACCCUUCCCCCACAACAAUUUUUUAAACAGGGAAAGUCAGGCAAGUUAGUAGCACAGCCGGGUCUGAAAGCCAGGAUUUCACGUUCUAUCCCAGGCUUGACUUCAAGUUGCCCCAUUACGGCGUUUAUUUGCCUGGUGCGUCUUUUUCUUUCUCUUUGCUUGCCCCUCCGACCCCGUCCCCUCGUUUGAAAGGGAGUGGGCGGUCGAGGCCCCCCCAAGUCAAAAAGAUGGAGUCCUAGAGCUGAGGGUCUCCAUCCAGCGCGCCCCACCCGAGCUGAAGGAAAACUAAACCGAAAGCCCCUUCCGCCUACGUUGGCAAGAAGGAGAACCCAGCUCAGCUCGAUUUCCGCCCAGAAUAGAAGCUGCCAGGCCGAACCUGGCUAGAUUUCGAAAUUUCCGAAUCCGAUUUCUCUGAAACCAUAGAUUAAAAAGGUCAGGAUUGGCACAAGCCUUGGGCUCAAACUCUAGCGCGUUCAUGGGCGCGCCAAGGUUGCCUUGCCCUCCCCGGGCCUUCCUCGGAGUUAGAACCCCCGGGCGCCAUCUCCUAAUCGGUCUCAGCAUCGGACUCCAAGAGGCACCUGCGGGACCCGGUGCUAGGGAGGCGAAAUAUGCAGCCUCUUAGGCCGCAGCGCAGUCCUAAAACUGGAGGGUAGCGUCACACUGCGCCGCGCAGCACCUCAGCAGCGGGGGCGGGCGCUCUUGCAAGCCUGCAAGCUUCUAGGAAAUGCAAUAAAAUAGAGGGAUGUGUUUUAUCAUCAAGAUCUGAAAGGAGCUGCAGAAGGGACACUCCCCGGGCGCCCAGCUCGCGACUGCCUUCCAGAAAGGGCCGGCAGUCAAUGCCAACAGACACGAGCAAAGAUAUUUUGGCCAUCCUGCCUGGAGCGGGCUCGGCCUUUGCAAAAAGGCUGACGGGGGAGGGCAGAAGCAUGAUCUCCCCAAGCAAACAAUGCCUUUAAAAAUCCGAUCUGGACAGAAG